This 243-nucleotide unclassified non-coding RNA is filed under the name Solicoccozyma terrea. RNAcentral describes it as "partial internal transcribed spacer region". The stretch from base 1 to 46 matches the Rfam family "Eukaryotic small subunit ribosomal RNA", at positions 1786 to 1831 of the family's 1831-position model. The record is from RNAcentral. Lineage: Eukaryota; Fungi; Basidiomycota; Tremellomycetes; Filobasidiales; Piskurozymaceae.
AAGUCGUAACAAGGUUUCCGUAGGUGAACCUGCGGAAGGAUCAUUAGUGAAUUAAACAUGCUUGGUGUCUUCGCUUCGGCAAGACCCUUGCUUAAAUCACAUCCUAACACCUGUGAACUGUAAGACGUAUGAUGAGGUCUUUGGCCAAGUCAUCGUCUGCCCAUUUUUAACAAACAAUUAAUGUAACAAACGUAGUCUUAUUAUAACCUAAUAAAACUUUCAACAACGGAUCUCUUGGCUCUC